CAAUAGCGUAUAUUUAAGUUGUUGCAGUUAAAAAGCUCGUAGUUGGAUUUCGGAUGGGAUUUGCCGGUCCGUCGUUACGAUGUGCACUGGCCAGUCCUAUCAUGUUGUCGGGGACUAGCUCCUUGGAUUCACUUCCUGGGACUAGGAGCUGACGAGGUUACUUUGAGUAAAUUAGAGUGUUCAAAGCAAGCCUACGCUCUGAAUACAUUAGCAUGGAAUAACACGAUAGGACUCUGGCUUAUCUUGUUGGUCUGUGAGACCAGAGUAAUGAUUAAGAGGGACAGUCGGGGACAUUCGUAUUUCAUUGUCAGAGGUGAAAUUCUUGGAUUUAUGAAAGACGAACUUCUGCGAAAGCAUUUGUCAAGGAUGUUUUCAUUAA
This 379-nucleotide ribosomal RNA is filed under the name uncultured eukaryote. RNAcentral's name for it is "partial 18S ribosomal RNA". It matches the Rfam family "Eukaryotic small subunit ribosomal RNA", at positions 592 to 976 of the family's 1831-position model. The record is from RNAcentral.